RNAcentral lists this long non-coding RNA (261 nucleotides) under Gossypium barbadense (sea-island cotton). Its description in RNAcentral is "long non-coding RNA (GBAR_LNC005139)". Lineage: Eukaryota; Viridiplantae; Streptophyta; Magnoliopsida; Malvales; Malvaceae. The record is from RNAcentral.
CAACUCUUGCCAAUCAUUUACCAAAUCCAAUGAUAUAAACACAAGAUAAUAUAAAUUGCAUUAAAACUUACAGUUAUAACUUAUUCAAUCACAUUGUUUAUUUUAUCAAUUCGCAAGAAUAAUUUAACAUGUCUUGACAUUAGCCUAAUAACCGAAAUCUUUCUAUUAUAACCGUUUACCACAAUCAACCAAUCAUUUUAAACCUCAUAAUAAACAUGCACAUUAAUUAUGAGUGUUCACUUUUCAAGCAUAUAUUCUAAC